AUUAUUUCUCUUUAAAUUUUUGGGUCAUAUUGAGGUUUCGGAAAUAUUAUAGAAGGAUCGGUGCUCUUUAUUUGUAAGUCGUCAAAAGUAUUGUAAGGAUUUUGACUACAUCAUAAGUCAAUCAGAUUUAGUAAAAAAUCUUGCUUAUGGCUGAAAACUUGAUAACGAAAAAUGUAGAUCAUUGAUUGGGAUUGAAUCUCCACAAUUACAUCAUUUGCAUACUUUCUUUCCUUUUACUUAUUGCUUUCGUACUUGUAUAUUUUUGUUUGAUUGACUCAUUUAUUCUUAACUUGCUUAAAUUUGGAUUAAUCUUCGAAAAAGUUUUAAAAUUCAAUUCACCCCCUCUUGAUUAGCUAUUUUUGGGAUUUCAAUUUAAGGUUUAGAUGGCAACUAACUUAGCAUGAGAAUUACUAGCUACUAUGUGAGAGUUGCAACAAUCGUGAAAUAGGCCUGGAUCAUCUCCGAUUAUAAAAUAGUUUCACAAGAUGUACCCGCUCGUGUUUGAAAAUAACAUUGAUCCACUAGCUGCUAAAGAAUGGCUUCGCCAUCUUGAGCGUAUUUUCAUGUUUAUGGAAUGCACUAAAGCACAAGAAUUGUGCGGUAUUUAUGAUGGAGAAAUGAGUAGGUCAUUGGUGGGAGAUGACUACUAGAUCCCCCACUAAGGAGUAAUAGAGUAAUCUUACUUGGAAACAAUUCGAAGAGAUAGUGCUUCAAAAGUACUUUACAGCUACUUUAAGAGACUAGAAAGAAGCAUAGUUUCUGUGCUGUAACAAGAAAACAAGACACUCACUGAUUAUUAAUAAAAGUUCAAGGAGUUAUCCAGAUUUGUCCCACGUCCGGUGGACAUAGAGGAGAGAAAAGCUCGAUGUUUUGAGCUUGUGCUGAGAACUGAUAUUAGGAAAGUAGCGACAAUACUCCAAUUGGGUACUUAUCAGAGUUCUGGAGAAGGCUCAAGUGUAUGCCUUUGAUGAUGACCAGAUUGGUGAAAGUAGUAAAUAAUAGACAAGCUUCUUAGACAAGGGCAAAUGGUAUAGCAAUAUCAAGAGGAAUGGAAAAGGUCCCAACGAGAAGAGAAUGACAAAAAAUGGGUGCCUACAUUACUGACAAUAAUCAACGAUCACUCUGUCCCAAAUGUUAAAAAUCUCAUCGCGAAGAAUAAAUGGCAAGAAAAAGGUGUCUAUUAAAGAUGUGGCAAGCCAGGAAAUAUUGUUAAAGUUUGCACUAAGGGACAACCUAAAAAUGCUGAAGAUCAAAAGGUGGACAAGGCUAGAGAUUUUGCUUUAACCUAGGAAGUGGUCAAGCAAGACUGCAAUGUGGUGACAAGUAGCAUAUCAAUCUCUGAUAUGCCUGCUUUUAUAUUAAUUGAUUCAGGGGCUAUAUUUUUGUUUGUUUAUUCGAUAUUCGUUUCAAAGUUAAAUAUAAAAUGUGUAGCCCUUGAUAACAUAUUCGUUUUUUUACUAACAUUUGAGAAGAUGCUUAAUGCAAAUUUUAUAGCGAGAAACCUAAACUUAGAAAUGGAUGGGAAUAUUAUAAACAAAGACUUGGUGGUCCUAAACAUGAAAGAUUUUGACGUUAUACUUGAAUGGACUGGUUGUUCGUUGUUUUGAGAAGGAUGUAAUUUUUCAACGACCUGGUGAAGAAGAAGUUUAUUUUUUUAAGGAUGAAGCUCCUAUCUCGACUUAUACCAGUAGUACAGGCUGAAAAAUUGUUGAAAGAGAAAUCAGUUCAAGGGUCUUAAUAUCUUUAACCAGCAUUAAUCAAAAUGAGCUAACUAUAAACGAAGUUCGAGUAGACAAAGAUUUCUUAGAUGUGUUUCUAGAAAAUUUUUUAGGAAUGCCUCUAGACCAAGAGGUUGAGUUUACUAUUAACCUCGUACUGGGUGCUAAGGCUUCUUAUUGUAUGGCAUCGGUAGAACUUCAGGAAUUGGAAGUACAAUUGUAGGAGUUGCUAGACAAGGGUUUUAUUAGACCCAGUAACUUACCAUGGAGAGCCCUAAUAUUGUUCAUAAAGAAGAAAGAAGAAACAAUGAGAAUGUGCAUCGAUUAUCGAGAGCUAAGAGCCGUAUUACAAUUAAAAAUAAGUAUCACUUGAGAGCUAAGCAUUAUUACAAUUAAAAAUAAGUAUCACCUCCCUAGAAUUGAAGAUUUAUUUGACUAGCUACAAUGUGUCAAGGUCUUCUCGAAAAUUGAUUUACGGUCAGGCUAUCAUCAAUUGAAAAUUAAAGCAACUGACAUUUCUAAGACAGCAUUUAGAACUCGACAUAGGCACGAUGAGUUCUUGCUUAUGUCAUUUGGUUUAACUAGUGCACCAGCAAUCUUCAUGAAUAGAGUUUUUCACAACUAUCUGAAUCACUUUGUUAUUGUCUUCAUUGACGAUAUACUAAUAUGUUCCAAAAAGUGAGCAUUAGCAUACAAAACACUUAAGAAUUAUUCUCUAAAUAUUGAAGAAGGAGAAGCUCUUUACCAAAUUCAAAAAUUACGAAUUUUGGCUCAAUGGAGUGGGAUUUUUGGGCCACGUGAUCACAGCCUAAGGAAUAGAAGUUCACCCAGGUAAAGUCUAAGUAAUCACCAGUUUUUAUCGACCAACUAAUGUUAGAGAAACCCGUAACUUCCUAGGAUUAGCAGGUUAUAUGGAAGAUUCAUUGAAUUUCAAAGAUUGCAUCCUAAUGACUCAGCUAACAUGAACAAAUAUGAAGUUCAUUGAAUUUCAAAGCUGAGGUCAACAUUUAGUAUUUAAUUUAAAAUUAUUUUGCAAAUUGGAAUUUUGUUUUCAAAAUUGAUUUCAUUAGUGGAUUGAAUUUAUUUGACAUAUUAUGAGACAAUAAAGUAGCAUAUUUUAUUCCACAAAGUUCUUGAAAUUUUUUGUAUUGCAAUGUGUUAAUGAACUUUUAUAAUAGCUAAAGGAAUUAUUUAAGUAACUGUCGGGACAUAAGUUUUGGGGCUUUACAUGGUUCUUUGUAACAGUUGAAAUGAUGUGUUGUCUUCUUUGAGUGAUACGACACCUUAUGGCAGCAAAGUUGACACCUACAGUAUCCAAGUGUAGCAACAUGGAUGUGCCAUGGCGCUAAUGUAUGCUGCCUAUUGUGCCCAAAGUAGCAUAGACUGCCAACGGCACUUGAAGCACCAACAUGGGGAUGCAAUGGCACCAAUGGUCCACCUUGGGAAUGAGGUAGGGUGGGUGAGGUACAGUUGAUGAAUGUGGCAAUUUUUGUCAAGUAAUGAUAUCUUGGCACGAUUUCUAAUUUAGUCAUGAUUUAAUUGAAGAUCACAUUCUGAAUGAAAUACGUGAGCAAUAUGGAAUUUGUAAAUUACAUGGUGAAGCAAGAAGGUUUGUUGUCUUCCAAUUCAAGCAAGGUAGGGAUUUUUGAUGCAUGAACGAUGCAUUUGAUGAUAUACGCAUAUAGUGUUAGAUGAUUUACCAAGUAUUCAUGUUAUCUUGUGCUAAGUAACACUGACGUGAUACAUCAAGUGAUUUAUGAAUAAACUAAUGUUGAGUACCAAAAAUUAAAUUAAUUUUUUUGAAAUGACGUUAUCUAGCAUAAGUUUAGCAACAAUGCUUAUUAGAUCAAUUUUCUCUUCUAUAUUGCGAGAUUGAUGUGGGAUGCAAUGUUUUCAAUAUUGGUUUAGGACAUUCAUUGAUGUACUUUGAGGACAAUAUAGAAGAUUACAAAGAGCUCAUAAGGUUUAUGAUGCUGAACAAGGAGUAUAAUGACACAAAGUACGAAGAAGGUAUGCGAGAUAUAGAACUAAUAAUUUUUUCAAUGAGGCUACUCAG
This 3774-nucleotide long non-coding RNA is filed under the name Olea europaea subsp. europaea. The record is from RNAcentral. Lineage: Eukaryota; Viridiplantae; Streptophyta; Magnoliopsida; Lamiales; Oleaceae.